GGGGCCGACAGGUUUCGACGGGCACAACUGAACAUCGACUGCGAGCCGAGGAACGACGGACACCUCGUAACACAUGCCGUCACCCGACAGACGCCAAUCAGAAGCGCUCUGGCUUCGCCCUCGUGGCGUGAGCUCGGGGACGCAGCGGAAGUCUCCGCCGCUGCUGACCCGUCAUGAACGGAGACUGCGAUCUCGACCGGAUGUCACCGGCGGCCGGGACGAGACAGCACCGGGAACGAACAGGAGCACCCCGCCCGCUCAGGUGACGGAGCUCCGAAGACCAACACCUGAGACACGCUCGUAGACGUCGAUGAGACGAUGUGCCCGGACGCGGGUUCAAUUCCCGCCGGUUCCACGC
This 358-nucleotide transfer-messenger RNA is filed under the name Microbacteriaceae. RNAcentral's name for it is "Pseudoclavibacter_A sp008831235 Standard tmRNA". It matches the Rfam family "transfer-messenger RNA". Rfam says of the family: Bacterial tmRNA, also known as 10Sa RNA or SsrA, is named for its dual tRNA and mRNA-like properties. Its role is to liberate the mRNA from a stalled ribosome. To accomplish this part of the tmRNA is used as a reading frame that ends in a translation stop signal. The record is from RNAcentral. Lineage: Bacteria; Bacillati; Actinomycetota; Actinomycetes; Micrococcales. RNAcentral also lists the same sequence under 1 other name.